AUACGGAGGGAGCAAGCGUUGUUCGGAAUCACUGGGCGUAAAGCGAGUGUAGGUUGUCAGGUAAGUAGGAUGUGAAAGCCCGGGGCUCAACCCCGGAAUUGCAUUCUAAACUGCCUGGCUAGAGUCCCGGAGAGGGAGGUGGAAUUCCGAGUGUAGAGGUGAAAUUCGUAGAUAUUCGGAGGAACACCAGAGGCGAAGGCGACCUCCUGGACGGUGACUGACACUGAGACUCGAAAGCGUGGGGAGCAAACAGGAUUAGAUACCCUAGUAGUCC
This 274-nucleotide ribosomal RNA is filed under the name uncultured bacterium. Its description in RNAcentral is "partial 16S ribosomal RNA". It matches the Rfam family "Bacterial small subunit ribosomal RNA", at positions 523 to 796 of the family's 1533-position model. The record is from RNAcentral.